UACGAAGGGGGCUAGCGUUACUCGGAUUGACUGGGCGUAAAGGGCGCGUAGGCGGUUUGUACAGUCAGACGUGAAAUUCCUGGGCUCAACCUGGGGGCUGCGUUUGAUACGUGCGGACUUGAGUUCGGAAGAGGGUCGUGGAAUUCCCAGUGUAGAGGUGAAAUUCGUAGAUAUUGGGAAGAACACCGGUGGCGAAGGCGGCUAUCUGGACUGUGAUUGACGCUGAGGCGCGAAAGCGUGGGGAGCAAACAGG
RNAcentral lists this ribosomal RNA (253 nucleotides) under uncultured bacterium. Its description in RNAcentral is "partial 16S ribosomal RNA". It matches the Rfam family "Bacterial small subunit ribosomal RNA", at positions 524 to 776 of the family's 1533-position model. The record is from RNAcentral.